GAUUGAUUGAUUGAUCGUACUCCUUUUCCAACAUUUGCUUGUUUUGUACACCUGGCUUUAUGAAAUCGGGGAAAUUACUCCUUCAAUUCCGAAACUGAUGCUGAGAUUCCUAAAUAGCAGACUCGUAGCUAUAAUGACCUGUUUCUGUACUGUAUAUUCUAAAAAGCAGCUAUGUGCUUCUAUUGAUUGUUGAAGAAUGUUAGAAAACAUAAAGGGACACACUCAUAUUAGAUCAGAAUGCUGUUUUGAAUUAUGUGUCUGCAGUACAUUUCUACUGAAAUAUACUGUCCAGUAAAUCUAUGUAACAGCAUGUUUGAUGUUGUUCUAGUUGUUGUAAACCGGGUCAUUGGAACAUGCAUUUAUGGCACAGUAAAGAUGGGGAGGGCCCCAGAUGUAGAUAACAGUUGGUUACUUCAAUGUAUUCGUUUAGAUGGGAACAACUUUUACAAGCACAGAGUAAUGACAAUGACACAAUCAUGAUCAUAUAUUCUCCCUAAACGGCUAAAGUAGCUUGUCCUUGCUCAGUGUAUGGAUAAAGAGAUGAACAAGUUGUCCUAUCAUAAAGUAAACAUGCUAUCAUAAAGUAAACAGGCUUAAGCUGAGAACAAAAGAGAGCACAAUGGAAUGCUACGAUGCCAUGGAAACCAUACAGUCACAAGUUCACACACCGGCCUGGGUAUUUAAAUCAUAAUACUUCAGUACAUUUGUAUAGCGCUUUUCAUUAUUCAGAAUGAUCUCAAAGCACGUUAAAGAAAAAUAUAAAAAUGUAAGGACAAAAAAGCAUGAUUAUCAACAAAAGUCGUCCCCUAUAAAAAUGCCUUUAGGCCUGUUUAAAAUGAGCCCAGAGACUGUGGUGACUUCAAGUGGUUUGGGAGGGCUACGAGUGGUUGAGCUAAAAGCCUGAUCCCCCAAAGGGGAGAGUUUUGUCUUGGAGACGUGGAGGAGCUGACUAUUACUUAACCUGGGGGUGCAUGGAAUUAUGGAGGGAUAGAGGUUUCUUUGAGAUAUAAAGGGGCACUGCCAGGACCUCUGGUAGGUCAAUAGGAGGCUUUUGAAUUAAUAUCCAAAAUGAGACAAGAAGCCAGUGCAGAGAGACCAUGAUGGGGGUGAUAUGGUUACGUUUCUGUACUUUGAUCAGGAUAUUGGCAGCACUGUUUUGGAUAUAUUGGAGUUCCUGACUCCAGACUGAUGACAGGACCAAGAGGGAGCAUAUAGAGGAUAAACAGGAUGGAACCAAGAACAGAAACCUGUGGUGCACCGCAGGAGAUGUGAUAGGUCUGGGACCUAGACCCACCUUGUGAGGUCCUGUCUGAGAGGUAUGAGUGGAACCAUCUCAGGGCUUGCCCAGACAGUCCUGUGGUGUCCCGGAGAUUUUCUAGGAGGAUCAGGUGCUCAAGUCCAAGAGGUUAAGGAGACAAAGGGAGCCUGCAUUAGCUGCCAUUAGUAAGUCAUUGGUGACCGUGAGCAGGGCUGUUUCAGUGCUGUGGGCCUGCUGGAAACCUGACUGGAGUUUCUCAAAUGAGCUGUUCUGAUUUAGAUGGUCCUGAAGCUGUAUAGCAACCACUUUCUCCAACAUCUUGGAGAGGAAAGGGUGGUUGAAGAUUGGCCAUGAAAUUGUGUGUUCCUGUUUGCUCAGCUCCUUAGCGAUGUGUAGUACAUAUUAACAGUUAUACACAAUAGCUAUCCCUUGGCUUCGUCUAACAGAAAUUCUACACACUAUAGUGGGUAUGGAUAACGGUCUGACAAAAACAGUUACCCUCAAAUUAAAGACCCUGAUUGACCCUGAUUGCAUAAUAAAAGAUUCUUAUUAUUAUUAUCUCCAAGAUUUCAACUAUUAUGUAGUUGACACACAGAACAUGAUCUCCCUGAAAAAGACAAUCAAAGCUUUGACAUAUAAAAUGUAUUGAUUUCAUUAUGAGGAACAAGAUUUUACAUUUCAUACAAUAAUGAGAAGGAACACUGACAGCUAGGGUUAGGGUUAAUGUGGUGUUUGGACAUGAAAUUAUAGUUACAGUUAGUGUUGAUGUAGGGUAUGGACAGGAAAUUAGAAUUAGUUUUAUGAGUAGACAAGGGGGAUUACAUUCUUAGGACAUAAUAAUGUUCUUGUUACCAACUUUCUGCACUUAAAAACAAAAGUGAAUAGAGCAGCAUCAUAGUCACACAGAUGUUCACAUAGAGUAAUUGUCUAUUUAAAAUUAUCUUCCUUUGGAACUUCCACUCUUUGGCUGAGUCAGUUCCACUUACUACCUGUUAUGUAUAACACUAUCCCAUGGCCACCCGCCAGCGUUUUGCUGCUGGCGGGUGGCAGGAGGCUAUAAUGUCGUACAGCCAGUGGGCGACCAGCUUUUGCUGCUUUUCUCCUGAUCUCAAUUUGCAUAAGCUAAUUUGCAUCUCAGGAGGCUUUCCACCAGCGGCCCGACUGCUUUACGCUGGUGGUGAGCUGCCAAAAAGAGGGCGUGCGCUGUAAUCUGCUGUAUCUGCUGUAUCUGCUUGUGUUGCCAUUUUCUUCCAGCAGACAUGCUAUUGUACCCAUUUUAUUCUUGUACUGAAUGUAUUAACGUUAUUGUAAUAUUGUUAAAUCUUAGUGUACAGAAUUUUGGUAAACAUUGGUAAAUAAUGAAUAAAAUAGACUUUGACUGUCCACAAGUUUGGUUGCUUACUAUUUUUUGUUUCUUCGUUUAUCCUCAAGUUCAGAUGUUUUGCGCUUCUUCACAUAUCAACAGUUGAACAGGUCAUGACGUUUUCUAUAGUUUUGUUCCCGGAGUAGGAUGACUGUGUGGCAGUAGCUCCAUGCCUGUGGCUCAAAGGGAGACUUUGGUACUGGCCACCACACAGCAUCACCAGCAGGAAGUCCUUCAGCCACGACAAGUUUGCCAGAACUUGUUCACCAUCUGAAGACACCUGGGAGGCUGUCCCUUAUAAGCUCAUCGAUCAUGCAGAGACCAGACGUGUGUAUCGCCAGAGGAGUGAAAAUCGUUCCAACAUGGGCCCCUACCAUCCCAAGGACGCACAUCUACACCACAACACCCUGUGCAUUGCAGCCCUGGAGGAUAGAACGAGCACAGUACUCCAAGGCACCAGAGAGGUACUCCACAACACCAUGUAGAGGAUUGCUACAUAGAACAUUUGGAGAAGAUCAAGCAGCUGUCUGAAGUGAAGGUCGAGCUGAGGGCACAGCUGGCUCUACAAUCAGCUUCUGAUAAACCUCUGACUGAAGAGAAUGUCAAGCUGAGGGCAAUCAGGAGCCAUAAGGAAGAAUCCUUCCAACCAGGAUGCCACUGACGAGGCUGUCCAGAACCAGGUCCCCAGGUAUCAGAAAGGGGCAGCUGACUGUGCAAGUGGGAGAAGAUGUUGCGGCGAUACAAGGGACCUUUUAUUAUAGGCUAAAAUGUAUUUAAAUUCAUUUGCACAUGUUUAUUUUAUAUUCUUGCUGUGUAAUGCAAGUUUUUUUGUAUGCAUCUUGCACUAUUAGAAAUACAUUGUUUAGAUUAUA
Long non-coding RNA from Esox lucius (northern pike), 3493 nucleotides. The record is from Ensembl. NCBI's taxonomy places the organism in Eukaryota, Metazoa, Chordata, Actinopteri, Esociformes, Esocidae.